RNAcentral lists this ribosomal RNA (553 nucleotides) under Oceanobacillus picturae. RNAcentral's name for it is "bacterial SSU rRNA". It matches the Rfam family "Bacterial small subunit ribosomal RNA", at positions 8 to 528 of the family's 1533-position model. The record is from RNAcentral. Lineage: Bacteria; Bacillati; Bacillota; Bacilli; Caryophanales; Bacillaceae.
AGAGUUUGAUCAUGGCUCAGGACGAACGCUGGCGGCGUGCCUAAUACAUGCAAGUCGAGCGCAGGAAGCAAGCAGAUCCCCUUCGGGGGUGACGCUUGUGGAAUGAGCGGCGGACGGGUGAGUAACACGUGGGCAACCUGCCUGUAAGACUGGGAUAACCCCGGGAAACCGGGGCUAAUACCGGAUAAUACUUUUCUUUGCAUAAAGGAAAGUUGAAAGGCGGUUUCGGCUGCCACUUACAGAUGGGCCCGCGGCGCAUUAGCUAGUUGGUGAGGUAACGGCUCACCAAGGCGACGAUGCGUAGCCGACCUGAGAGGGUGAUCGGCCACACUGGGACUGAGACACGGCCCAGACUCCUACGGGAGGCAGCAGUAGGGAAUCUUCCGCAAUGGACGAAAGUCUGACGGAGCAACGCCGCGUGAGUGAUGAAGGUUUUCGGAUCGUAAAACUCUGUUGUUAGGGAAGAACAAGUCGGGUAGUAACUGACCCGGCCUUGACGGUACCUAACCAGAAAGCCCCGGCUAACUACGUGCCAGCAGCCGCGGUAAUACGU